This 1155-nucleotide ribosomal RNA is filed under the name Falcidens halanychi. RNAcentral's name for it is "16S ribosomal RNA". The stretch from base 762 to 1155 matches the Rfam family "Bacterial large subunit ribosomal RNA", at positions 2048 to 2706 of the family's 2925-position model. The record is from RNAcentral. Lineage: Eukaryota; Metazoa; Mollusca; Caudofoveata; Chaetodermatida; Chaetodermatidae.
UUGUAUAUAUGAAAAGGAUUUUGUGUUAGUAUGUUAGAAUUCAUUAGGGUAGAUUACUGAAAAGGGGUGGUUAAAAGUAAAGUAGGAAAUAGAUAUUUUUAAUAUUUGUACCUUUUGUAUAAUGUUUUGUUUAGAAGAUAAGUGGUUAUUGAUUCUCGAAUUUUAAAGAUCUAUAAGUAAGAGGAGUUAAUGUAGAAAAAUUAUUCCUAAUUUACUUAUAGGAGUGAUAUUCUUGUCGUUUUAAAGGAUAGCUAGUUUAUUAGGAGAGAGGUUUUGCCUUUUUAAAUGAUUUAAGUUGAAUAAAAAGGGUAAUCUUUUUUAUGUUAUAUAAAUAUAGGUGUAUAGUAUGGGUAUUUGUAGACUUGAAAAUAGUUUUUAAAAGGAGUAUGUUGUUAUUUAUAUCAGACAUAUUGGAAAAUAAUUAGAGUGUUUUAUUUUUGUACUAAGAGUAGGUCAAGAAUCUCGGGGUUAUUUAUUUAUGAUAAAAUUAGUAUUGUUAUUGUUAUGUAAGUUAGAAGUUGUCUUUUGGUAAAAGGGGUAGAAUAGGAAAAUGGAUUUAUGAAUUCGGCAAAAAAAGUUUCGACUGUUUAUCAAAAACAUUUUUUUUUGUAAACAUAAAAAAUAGAGCCUGCACAAUGAUUUAAAUUGCCGUGGUAUUUUGACCAUGCUAAGGUAGCAUAAUCAUUUGGUUUUUAAUUGAGAUCUGGCAUGAAGGGUUGAACGAGAGCUUUCCUUUAUUAAUCUAUUGGUAAAAUUUAAUUUUUAGGUGAAGAAGCCUAAAUGAAAGAAAAGGACAAGAAGACCCUAUCGAGUUUUAUUAUUUUAGUAUAUACAUAUACAGCAGAAAUUUGGUUGGGGCAACCAAAGAAUUAACUUCUUUUUAGAGUGGUUGAAGUAGGUAAAGAAUUUUUUAAAAAAUGAGGAAGUUACCGUAGGGAUAACAGCAUUAUUUUUUUUUAGAGCUCUAAUCGAAAAAAAAGUUUGUGACCUCGAUGUUGGACUAAGAUAACCUUAGGGAGUAGAAAUUCUAGGGGGUUGGUCUGUUCGACCAUAAAAAUCUUACAUGAUCUGAGUUCAGACCGGCGUGAGCCAGGUUGGUUUCUAUCCUUUACAAGAGUAGUUUAUGUUAGUACGAAAGGAUUAUAUAAAUUUUUU